UACAGAGGCCUCGAGCGUUAAUCGGAGUCACUGGGCUUAAAGGGUGCGUAGGCGGCGCCGCAAGUGUCUUGUGAAAUCCCACGGCUCAACCGUGGAAUUGCUCGACAGACUGCGGUGCUUGAGGUUGGUAGGGGUCGCUGGAACUCUAGGUGGAGCGGUGAAAUGCGUAGAUAUCUAGAGGAACGCCGAAGGUGAAGACAGGCGACUGGGCCAAUUCUGACGCUGAGGCACGAAAGCGUGGGGAGCGAACGGG
This 253-nucleotide ribosomal RNA is filed under the name uncultured bacterium. RNAcentral describes it as "partial 16S ribosomal RNA". It matches the Rfam family "Bacterial small subunit ribosomal RNA", at positions 524 to 776 of the family's 1533-position model. The record is from RNAcentral.